UACGUAGGGUGCGAGCGUUGUCCGGAAUUAUUGGGCGUAAAGAGCUCGUAGGCGGUGUGUCACGUCGGCCGUGAAAACCUGCAGCUUAACUGUGGGCGUGCGGUCGAUACGGGCAUCACUGGAGUUCGGCAGGGGAGACUGGAAUUCCUGGUGUAGCGGUGAAAUGCGCAGAUAUCAGGAGGAACACCGGUGGCGAAGGCGGCUCUCUGGGCCUGUCCUGACGCUCAGGCGCGAAAGCUAGGGGAGCGAACAGG
RNAcentral lists this ribosomal RNA (254 nucleotides) under uncultured bacterium. RNAcentral's name for it is "partial 16S ribosomal RNA". It matches the Rfam family "Bacterial small subunit ribosomal RNA", at positions 524 to 776 of the family's 1533-position model. The record is from RNAcentral.